This 76-nucleotide small RNA is filed under the name Xanthomonas prunicola. RNAcentral describes it as "sX9 sRNA". It matches the Rfam family "Xanthomonas sRNA sX9". Lineage: Bacteria; Pseudomonadati; Pseudomonadota; Gammaproteobacteria; Lysobacterales; Lysobacteraceae. The record is from RNAcentral.
AAGAACCACGCGUACACCGUGGUUCUUGUGCGCCGUCCGCACGCACCCGACGACUGCGCGCGAGGUUUUGGUCGCC